RNAcentral lists this transfer RNA (72 nucleotides) under Dehalococcoidia bacterium. It matches the Rfam family "tRNA". From Rfam's summary of the family: Transfer RNA (tRNA) molecules are approximately 80 nucleotides in length. RNAcentral also lists the same sequence under 1 other name. Lineage: Bacteria; Bacillati; Chloroflexota; Dehalococcoidia. The record is from Rfam by way of RNAcentral.
CGCGGGAUGGAGCAGUGGUAGCUCGUCGGGCUCAUAACCCGAAGGUCGGGGGUUCGAAUCCCUCUCCCGCUA